RNAcentral lists this ribosomal RNA (433 nucleotides) under uncultured bacterium. Its description in RNAcentral is "partial 16S ribosomal RNA". It matches the Rfam family "Bacterial small subunit ribosomal RNA", at positions 29 to 507 of the family's 1533-position model. The record is from RNAcentral.
AACGAACGCUGGCGGCAUGCCUAACACAUGCAAGUCGAACGAGACCUUCGGGUCUAGUGGCGCACGGGUGCGUACCGCGUGGGAACCUGCCCUUAGGUUCGGUAUAACUCCCCGAAAGGGGUGCUAAUACCGGAUAAUGUCUUCGGACCAAAGAUUUAUCGCCUUUGGAUGGGCCCGCGUUGGAUUAGCUAGUUGGUAGGGUAAAAGCCUACCAAGGCGACGAUCCAUAGCUGGUCGGAGAGGAUGAUCAGCCACACUGGGACUGAGACACGGCCCAGACUCCUACGGGAGGGAGCAGUGGGGAAUAUUGGACAAGGGGCGAAAGCCUGAUCCAGCAAUGCCGCGUGAGUGAUGAAGGCCUUAGGGUUGUAAAGCUCUUUUACCCGGGAUGAUAAUGACAGUACCGGGAGAAUAAGCACCGGCUAACUCCGUG